RNAcentral lists this ribosomal RNA (600 nucleotides) under uncultured bacterium. RNAcentral describes it as "bacterial SSU rRNA". It matches the Rfam family "Bacterial small subunit ribosomal RNA", at positions 8 to 603 of the family's 1533-position model. The record is from RNAcentral.
AGAGUUUGAUCCUGGCUCAGAUUGAACGCUGGCGGCAUGCCUUACACAUGCAAGUCGAACGGCAGCACGGAGCUUGCUCUGGUGGCGAGUGGCGAACAGGUGAGUAAUAUAUCGGAACGUACCCUAGAGUGGGGGAUAACGUAGCGAAAGUUACGCUAAUACCGCAUACGAUCUAAGGAUGAAAGUGGGGGAUCGCAAGACCUCAUGCUCGUGGAGCGGCCGAUAUCUGAUUAGCUAGUUGGUAGGGUAAAAGCCUACCAAGGCAUCGAUCAGUAGCUGGUCUGAGAGGACGACCAGCCACACUGGAACUGAGACACGGUCCAGACUCCUACGGGAGGCAGCAGUGGGGAAUUUUGGACAAUGGGCGAAAGCCUGAUCCAGCAAUGCCGCGUGAGUGAAGAAGGCCUUCGGGUUGUAAAGCUCUUUUGUCAGGGAAGAAACGGUGAGAGCUAAUAUCUUUUGCUAAUGACGGUACCUGAAGAAUAAGCACCGGCUAACUACGUGCCAGCAGCCGCGGUAAUACGUAGGGUGCAAGCGUUAAUCGGAAUUACUGGGCGUAAAGCGUGCGCAGGCGGUUUUGUAAGUCUGAUGUGAAAUCCC